UGGGGAAUAUUGGACAAUGGGCGAAAGCCUGAUCCAGCAAUACCGCGUGAAUGAUGAAGGCCUUAGGGUUGUAAAGUUCUUUUAGUAGGGAAGAUAAUGACGGUACCUACAGAAAAAGCCCCGGCUAACUCCGUGCCAGCAGCCGCGGUAAGACGGAGGGGGCUAGCGUUGUUCGGAAUUACUGGGCGUAAAGAGCGCGUAGGCGGAUAAACAAGUUGGGAGUGAAAGCCCAGGGCUUAACCCUGGAACUGCUCUCAAAACUGUUUUUCUAGAGUGAAGUAGGGGAUGAUGGAAUUCCUAGUGUAGAGGUGGAAUUCUUAGAUAUUAGGAGGAACACCGGUGGCGAAAGCGGUCAUCUGGGCUUCAACUGACGCUAAUGCGCGAAAGCGUGGGGAGCAAA
RNAcentral lists this ribosomal RNA (400 nucleotides) under uncultured bacterium. Its description in RNAcentral is "bacterial SSU rRNA". It matches the Rfam family "Bacterial small subunit ribosomal RNA", at positions 355 to 772 of the family's 1533-position model. The record is from RNAcentral.